RNAcentral lists this ribosomal RNA (383 nucleotides) under uncultured bacterium. RNAcentral describes it as "bacterial SSU rRNA". It matches the Rfam family "Bacterial small subunit ribosomal RNA", at positions 29 to 419 of the family's 1533-position model. The record is from RNAcentral.
AUUGAACGCUGGCGGCAUGCCUUACACAUGCAAGUCGAGCGCGAAAGGGGGCAACCCCGAGUAGAGCGGCGGACGGGUGAGUAACGCAUCGGAACGUGCCCAGUAGUGGGGGACAACCUCGAGAAAUCGAGGCUAAUACCGCAUACGACCCACGGGUGAAAGCGGGGACCGCAAGGCCUCGCGCUAUUGGAGCGGCCGAUGUCCGAUUAGCUAGUUGGCGGGGUAAGAGCCCACCAAGGCGACGAUCGGUAGCUGGUCUGAGAGGACGACCAGCCACACUGGGACUGAGACACGGCCCAGACUCCUACGGGAGGCAGCAGUGGGAAUUUUGGACAAUGGGGCAACCCUGAUCCAGCCAUGCCGCGUGCGGGAAGAAGGCCUUC